ACAAAAAGUAUAUUCAAACUUAUGCCAUAAGACCAAGACCGGUUACUCACUAAAGCCAAGGAGGGCUGAGCCUGGUCAGUACCUGUAUGGGAGAACACAUGGGAAAACUAGGUUGCUGUUAGAA
This 124-nucleotide ribosomal RNA is filed under the name Danio rerio (zebrafish). Lineage: Eukaryota; Metazoa; Chordata; Actinopteri; Cypriniformes; Danionidae. The record is from RNAcentral.